Molecule: non-coding RNA, 24 nt
Filed under: Arabidopsis thaliana (thale cress)
Lineage: Eukaryota; Viridiplantae; Streptophyta; Magnoliopsida; Brassicales; Brassicaceae
Source: RNAcentral
GUAUACAUGGUUCCAUUCAAGAAA